AUGACGAAGACGAUGCCGCGUGACUCUUCAGCGAGUGGAGCGUUGGUGCCGAGCGACUCGGUGGCGAUGGCGGCUGCCGCGACAGCGGCGACGACGGCGGCGGCGGGGAAGCUCCCAUUCCCGCUGCUCACGAGGACGAACUACGCGGCGUGGGCGAUGAGGAUGAAGUACCUCUUGCGCGCCAAUGGCGCGUGGGGUGCCGUUGAUCGCUAG
This 213-nucleotide ribosomal RNA is filed under the name Triticum aestivum (bread wheat). Its description in RNAcentral is "partial small subunit ribosomal RNA". The record is from RNAcentral. Lineage: Eukaryota; Viridiplantae; Streptophyta; Magnoliopsida; Poales; Poaceae.